CUCGCUCUCUCUCAUUCUUUUUCUCUCUCUCUCUAUCACUCACUCUCUCUUUCUUUCUGUCCCCCCCCCUCUCUCUUUUGCUUUCUCGCUCUCUCUCUCUCUUUCUGUCUCUCUCUCUCUCUCUCUUACUCUCUCGCAGUCUCAGUAUAGUCGGUUGACUGAUUGAUAAAUCAAAACAUUUGCUAAAUUUAACUUUGCAAAUCUGCAAAAAGUUGAGUUAGGAAAUGUGUGUGUAACCUACAGCAUGUAUGUGACAACUCCUAGUGUCCACAUAUCUGUAGGGAAGGAAACAAAGUCAAAGUUGACCACCUCUGGUGCCAGGAACUCAGGUGUCCCGAAUGAAACUCGGAGCUUCUCUCGUGGUUUGUACCUACAGGAGGAAAGAGCCGAUGCUUAUGAGGAUGAAAGAAAAUCUGAUCUGAAGCAGCUGCAGUCAUUAUGCCCAAAGUCGAUGAUCUUGAUCUGAUGGCUGGACCGAUUCACACAAAGGAUGUUCUCUGGCUGAAAGCGAAGCAGCUCGUCGAGGUGAAGGACGUACAUCUGGUGCAUGUAAUGGACCCCCUCGCAUAUCUGCUUCACAAACACCAUGGCGUCCACCUCGGUCAGGGGGCAGCUCUCAUCCACAAUCCUCUCAAACAGCUCCCCUCCUUCCACACUGCAGGUUAAUACUCACUACUCCAGAACCAGCACUACUUGAUUUUUGGUCUCGAAGGCAUCAAACAGCUGAAGGAUGUUGGCAUGACUCAGUUGGUUCAUUACUUCGAUCUCAUUCAGCACCAUUUCCUGCCAAACACGGAAAGAUCCACAGUUCACUUCCGCUCACCUUGACAGUUGUACUGAAAGGAAGUCUGUGAAGUAAAGGAAUCAGCACUCACCUUCUCUUUGGCACAUCUGGUACUGAUGAUCUUCGCUGCCAGUCUAAGCCCGUUUUUAAUCUCUGUGCAUUUGUGCACUUUGCCAAACCGACCACUAAAAUAUGAGAAAAGUCAUUUCAUUCCUGCGUUUAUUUGUACUCAUGAAUGCACGGCCAUCGUUGUCCUUUAAUCGUGUUGUUAUAAACCAGGAAAAAAUCACACUAGAAGAUGUCGAGACGAUUCCUGUUCAUAUGAUUGAUUUUUUGUUUAAAUGUAAUAUAUCUUACAGCAUAGUUUAGAAGUUAGAAUAAAUUCUGAGCUCACCCUCCCAGCACCUCUCGAGUGUGGAUGCUGAAGUCAGACGGUGGGCUCGUCUUUAGAGACACACACCGAUGUGAGAAAGGUGCAGGCUGUGGAGGAACAUCAUCUACAGUAUGUAGAGCAGGAGAAUAAAUUGUUUGGAUUAUUUAUUAUUCAUCCCAUUUAUUAAUAAUUAUCUCAGAGUCUCUGCAAUUCUUACAAACUGUGUUUUGUACAUCGACCACAGAUUUAGGGCUGUGUGAUGAUAAAAGCUACAAAUUGUGAAAGAA
Molecule: long non-coding RNA, 1444 nt
Organism: Tachysurus fulvidraco (yellow catfish)
Lineage: Eukaryota; Metazoa; Chordata; Actinopteri; Siluriformes; Bagridae
Exons: 4
Source: RefSeq, a predicted model, not a curated record